GGCACCUGGAUGUGGAUUCUCCACGGCAACGUAACUGAACGCGGAGACGUCGGCGGGGGUCCUGGGAAGAGUUAUCUUUUCUUCUUGACGGUCUGUCACCCUGAAAUCGGUUUGUCCGGAGCUAGGGUUCAACGGCCGGCAGAGCGCCGCACCUUUGCGGCGUCCGGUGUGCCCCCGACGACCCUUGAAAAUCCGCGGGAAGGAAUAGUUUUCACGCCAGGUCG
RNAcentral lists this ribosomal RNA (224 nucleotides) under Trichophyton schoenleinii. Its description in RNAcentral is "partial 28S ribosomal RNA". It matches the Rfam family "Eukaryotic large subunit ribosomal RNA", at positions 1620 to 1844 of the family's 3401-position model. The record is from RNAcentral. Lineage: Eukaryota; Fungi; Ascomycota; Eurotiomycetes; Onygenales; Arthrodermataceae.